UUAAGUUAAUAAGGGCGCACGGUGGAUGCCUUGGCACUAGGAGCCGACGAAGGACGUGACAAACGACGAUAUGCCUUGGGUAGCUGUAAGUAAGCGAUGAUCCAGGGAUUUCCGAAUGGGGGAACCCAACAGGUAAUACCUGUUACCUACAUCUGUUAAGGAUGUGAGGAGGAAGACGCAGUGAACUGAAACAUCUAAGUAGCUGCAGGAAGAGAAAGCAAAAGCGAUUGCCUUAGUAGCGGCGAGCGAAACGGCAGAAGGGCAAACCGAAGAGUUUACUCUUCGGGGUUGUAGGACUGCAAUGUGGACUCAAAGAUUAUAGAAGAAUGAUUUGGGAAGAUCAGCCAAAGAGAGUAAUAGCCUCGUAUUUAAAAUAGUCUUUGUACUUAGCAGUAUCCUGAGUACGGCGGGACACGUGAAAUCCCGUCGGAAUCUGGGAGGACCAUCUCCCAACCCUAAAUACUCCCUAGUGACCGAUAGUGAACCAGUACCGUGAGGGAAAGGUGAAAAGCACCCCGGGAGGGGAGUGAAAUAGAACCUGAAACCGUGUGCCUACAACAAGUUCGAGCCCGUUAAUGGGUGAGAGCGUGCCUUUUGUAGAAUGAACCGGCGAGUUACGUUAUGAUGCGAGGUUAAGUUGAAGAGACGGAGCCGUAGGGAAACCGAGUCUGAAUAGGGCGCCUUAGUAUCAUGACGUAGACCCGAAACCAUGUGACCUACCCAUGAGCAGGUUGAAGGUGCGGUAAGACGCACUGGAGGACCGAACCAGGGCACGUUGAAAAGUGCUUGGAUGACUUGUGGGUAGCGGAGAAAUUCCAAACGAACUUGGAGAUAGCUGGUUCUCUCCGAAAUAGCUUUAGGGCUAGCGUCGACAUUAGAGAUUCUUGGAGGUAGAGCACUGUUUGGGUGAGGGGUCCAUCCCGGAUUACCAAUCUCAGAUAAACUCCGAAUGCCAAUGAAUUAUGGUCGGCAGUCAGACUGCGAGUGCUAAGAUCCGUAGUCGAAAGGGAAACAGCCCAGACCACCAGCUAAGGUCCCAAAAUAAUUGUUAAGUGGAAAAGGAUGUGGGGUUGCACAGACAACUAGGAUGUUAGCUUAGAAGCAGCUAUUCAUUCAAAGAGUGCGUAAUAGCUCACUAGUCGAGUGACCCUGCGCCGAAAAUGUACCGGGGCUAAAACAAUUUACCGAAGCUGUGGAUACCUUUAUAGGUAUGGUAGGAGAGCGUUCUAUGUGUGAUGAAGGUAUACCGUGAGGAGUGCUGGAACGCAUAGAAGUGAGAAUGCCGGUAUGAGUAGCGAAAGACAGGUGAGAAUCCUGUCCACCGUAAGACUAAGGUUUCCAGGGGAAGGCUCGUCCGCCCUGGGUUAGUCGGGACCUAAGGAGAGACCGAAAGGUGUAUCCGAUGGACAACAGGUUGAUAUUCCUGUACUAGAGUAUGUAGUGAUGGAGGGACGCAGUAGGCUAACUAAAGCAGACGAUUGGAAGAGUCUGUCUAAGCAGUGAGGUGUGAAUUGAGUCAAAUGCUUAAUUCUAUAACAUUGAGCUGUGAUGGGGAGCGAAGUUUAGUAGCGAAGUUAGUGACGUCACACUGCCAAGAAAAGCUUCUAGCGUUUAAACAUACUCUACCCGUACCGCAAACCGACACAGGUAGUCGAGGCGAGUAGCCUCAGGUGAGCGAGAGAACUCUCGUUAAGGAACUCGGCAAAAUGACCCCGUAACUUCGGGAGAAGGGGUGCUGACUUAAAGUCAGCCGCAGUGAAUAGGCCCAAGCAACUGUUUAUCAAAAACACAGCUCUCUGCUAAAUCGUAAGAUGAUGUAUAGGGGGUGACGCCUGCCCGGUGCUGGAAGGUUAAGAGGAGUGCUUAGCGUAAGCGAAGGUAUGAAUUGAAGCCCCAGUAAACGGCGGCCGUAACUAUAACGGUCCUAAGGUAGCGAAAUUCCUUGUCGGGUAAGUUCCGACCCGCACGAAAGGCGUAAUGAUUUGGGCACUGUCUCAACGAGAGACUCGGUGAAAUUUUAGUACCUGUGAAGAUGCAGGUUACCCGCGACAGGACGGAAAGACCCCAUGGAGCUUUACUGCAGUUUGAUAUUGAGUGUCUGUACCACAUGUACAGGAUAGGUAGGAGUCUAAGAGAUCGGGACGCCAGUUUCGAAGGAGACGCUGUUGGGAUACUACCCUUGUGUUAUGGCCACUCUAACCCAGAUAGGUGAUCCCUAUCGGAGACAGUGUCUGACGGGCAGUUUGACUGGGGCGGUCGCCUCCUAAAAGGUAACGGAGGCGCCCAAAGGUUCCCUCAGAAUGGUUGGAAAUCAUUCGCAGAGUGUAAAGGUAUAAGGGAGCUUGACUGCGAGAGCUACAACUCGAGCAGGGACGAAAGUCGGGCUUAGUGAUCCGGUGGUUCCGUAUGGAAGGGCCAUCGCUCAACGGAUAAAAGCUACCCUGGGGAUAACAGGCUUAUCUCCCCCAAGAGUUCACAUCGACGGGGAGGUUUGGCACCUCGAUGUCGGCUCGUCGCAUCCUGGGGCUGUAGUCGGUCCCAAGGGUUGGGCUGUUCGCCCAUUAAAGCGGCACGCGAGCUGGGUUCAGAACGUCGUGAGACAGUUCGGUCCCUAUCCGUCGCGGGCGUAGGAAAUUUGAGAGGAUCUGCUCCUAGUACGAGAGGACCAGAGUGGACUUACCGCUGGUGUACCAGUUGUCUUGCCAAAGGCAUCGCUGGGUAGCUAUGUAGGGAAGGGAUAAACGCUGAAAGCAUCUAAGUGUGAACCCCACCUCAAGAUGAGAUUUCCCAUGAUUAUAUAUCAGUAAGAGCCCUGAGAGAUGAUCAGGUAGAUAGGUUAGAAGUGGAAGUGUGGCGACACAUGUAGCGGACUAAUACUAAUAGCUCGAGGACUUAUCCAA
RNAcentral lists this ribosomal RNA (2900 nucleotides) under Streptococcus pneumoniae. RNAcentral describes it as "bacterial LSU rRNA". It matches the Rfam family "Bacterial large subunit ribosomal RNA". Lineage: Bacteria; Bacillati; Bacillota; Bacilli; Lactobacillales; Streptococcaceae. The record is from RNAcentral.